RNAcentral lists this ribosomal RNA (483 nucleotides) under uncultured bacterium. RNAcentral's name for it is "partial 16S ribosomal RNA". It matches the Rfam family "Bacterial small subunit ribosomal RNA", at positions 28 to 523 of the family's 1533-position model. The record is from RNAcentral.
GACGAACGCUGGCGGCGUACCUAACACAUGCAAGUCGAACGAGGUCCAAGGGAGCUUGCUCCCUGAAGACCUAGUGGCGAACGGGUGAGUAACACGUGAGAAACCUGCCCUCGAGUGGGGAAUAACCCGGGGAAACCCGGGCUAAUACCGCAUACGCUCCUCUGGUCGCAUGGCCGGAGGAGGAAAGUUUUUCGCUCAAGGAGGGUCUCGCGGCCUAUCAGCUUGUUGGCGGGGUAACGGCCCACCAAGGCUACGACGGGUAGCUGGUUUGAGAGAACGAUCAGCCACACUGGGACUGAGACACGGCCCAGACUCCUACGGGAGGCAGCAGUGGGGAAUCUUGCGCAAUGGGCGAAAGCCUGACGCAGCAACGCCGCGUGCGGGAUGACGGCCUUCGUGGUUGUAAACCGCUUUCAGCAGGGACGAAAAUGACGGUACCUGCAGAAGAAGCUCCGGCUAACUACGUGCCAGCAGCCGCCGCAG